RNAcentral lists this ribosomal RNA (252 nucleotides) under uncultured bacterium. RNAcentral describes it as "partial 16S ribosomal RNA". It matches the Rfam family "Bacterial small subunit ribosomal RNA", at positions 524 to 776 of the family's 1533-position model. The record is from RNAcentral.
UACGGGGGGGCAAGCGUUGUUCGGAAUUACUGGGCGUAAAGGGCUCGUAGGUGGCCAACUAAGUCAGACGUGAAAUCCCUCGGCUCAACCGGGGAAUGGCAUCUGAUACUGGAUGGCUUGAGUUUGGGAGAGGGACGCGGAAUUCCAGGUGUAGCGGUGAAAUGCGCAGAUAUCAGGAAGAACACCGAUGGCGAAAGCAGCUCUCUGGGACGGUACUGACGCUGAGGCGCGAAAGCGUGGGGAGCGAACAGG